This 163-nucleotide microRNA precursor is filed under the name Podarcis lilfordi (Lilford's wall lizard). Lineage: Eukaryota; Metazoa; Chordata; Lepidosauria; Squamata; Lacertidae. The record is from RNAcentral.
GGGUCAUGAAAACAUCUCUCUCUCUCUCUCUCUCUCUCUCUCUCUCUCUCUCUCUCGUUGGCUGGUUUUUAUUUCCUCUGUGUGUGUGUGUGUGUGUGUGUGAGAGAGAGAGAGAGAGAGAGAGAGAGAAAGAGAAAGAGAAAGAGAGAGAUAUGCAUGACUC